GGAGGAAAAGAACUAACAAGGAUUCCCCUAGUAACUGCGAGUGAAGCGGGAAAAGCUCAAAUUUAAAAUCUGGCAGUCUCUGGCUGUCCGAGUUGUAAUCUAGAGAAGUGUUACCCGCGCUGGACCGUGUAUAAGUCUCCUGGGAUGGAGCGUCACAGAGGGUGAGAAUCCCGUCUUUGACACGGACUACCAGGGCUUUGUGGUAUGCUCUCAAAGAGUCGAGUUGUUUGGGAAUGCAGCUCAAAAUGGGUGGUAAAUUCCAUCUAAAGCUAAAUAUUGGCGAGAGACCGAUAGCGAACAAGUACCGUGAGGGAAAGAUGAAAAGAACUUUGGAAAGAGAGUUAAACAGUACGUGAAAUUGCUGAAAGGGAAACGCUUGAAGUCAGUCGCAUUGGCCAGGGAUCAGCCUCACUUGUUUGUGUGGUGUACUUUCUGGUUGAUGGGUCAGCAUCAAUUUUGACCGCUGGAAAAAGASAAGAGGAAUGUGGCAGCYUCGGCUGUGUUAUAGCCUCUUGUCACAUGCAGUGGUUGGGAUUGAGGAACUCAGCACGCCGCAAGGCCGGGUUUCGACCACGUUCGUGCUUAGGAUGCUGGCAUAAUGGCUUUA
RNAcentral lists this ribosomal RNA (607 nucleotides) under Mycetophylax conformis symbiont G26. RNAcentral's name for it is "eukaryotic LSU rRNA". It matches the Rfam family "Eukaryotic large subunit ribosomal RNA", at positions 52 to 642 of the family's 3401-position model. Lineage: Eukaryota; Fungi; Basidiomycota; Agaricomycetes; Agaricales; Agaricaceae. The record is from RNAcentral.